UGUUUCAGGGCGAGGUGAAAUUCCUCACCGGCGGUAAAGUCCGCGAGCCGAGCUUACUUUAAGCUUAGCAUGAUUCGGUGAAAUUCCGAAACCGACGGUAUAGUCCGGAUGAAAGAAA
RNAcentral lists this non-coding RNA (118 nucleotides) under pig gut metagenome. Its description in RNAcentral is "FMN riboswitch (RFN element)". It matches the Rfam family "FMN riboswitch aptamer (RFN element)". From Rfam's summary of the family: The RFN element is a highly conserved domain that is found frequently in the 5'-untranslated regions of prokaryotic mRNAs that encode for flavin mononucleotide (FMN) biosynthesis and transport proteins. This element is a metabolite-dependent riboswitch that directly binds FMN in the absence of proteins. In Bacillus subtilis, the riboswitch most likely controls gene expression by causing premature transcription termination within the 5' untranslated region of the ribDEAHT operon and precluding access to the ribosome-binding site of ypaA mRNA. The record is from RNAcentral.